Molecule: ribosomal RNA, 774 nt
Filed under: uncultured Neocallimastigales
Lineage: Eukaryota; Fungi; Neocallimastigomycota; Neocallimastigomycetes; Neocallimastigales
Description: partial large subunit ribosomal RNA
Rfam family: Eukaryotic large subunit ribosomal RNA
Source: RNAcentral
GUACACGCUGUGACUAGCAUAUCAAUAAGCGGAGGAAAAGAAACUAACAAGGAUUCCCCUAGUAACGGCGAGUGAAGCGGGAAGAGCUCAAAUUUGGAAUCUUAAAGGGCUUCCCUCUACGAAUUGUAGUUUAAAGAAGUGUUUUCUGUUGAGGUUUUGGUAAAAGUUCUUUGGAAUAGGACAUCAUAGAGGGUGAGAAUCCCGUAUUUGACCUUUACUUUCAACUUUGUGAUACACUUUCAAAGAGUCGGAUUGUUUGGGAAUGCAGUCCAAAAUGGGUGGUAAAUUUCAUCUAAAGCUAAAUAUUGGCGAGAGACCGAUAGCGAACAAGUACCGUGAGGGAAAGAUGAAAAGAACUUUGAAAAGAGAGUUAAACAGUACGUGAAAUUGUCAAAAGGGAAGCGUUUGACACCAGUGUUGUUUUUCUGAAAAUCAAUUAAAGAACUGUUUAUGCUAAGUUGUUUAGACUUUAUCAGCUAUCUGUUUAGUUUUGAGCUUUUCUUUAAUGCACUUUUCAGUUAACAAGUCAACAUCAAUUUCUUUUGCUGUAAAAAAGCUUGAGGAAGGUGGCUUGAGAUUCGUCUUAAGUGUUUAUAGCCUCUUGCCUAUGCAGUCGGAGAGAUUGAGGUCUGCAGCGUAGAUCCUUCGGGGCUAAAUGCAUUUGUGCUAAGUUAUAGCAUUUUAUAGACAACUUGUUGACUAUGAUUUGUCUUGUAGCUUACUCGCUUAUGUUAUUUUACCUACGCUUAGGAUGUUGAGUCGUAGAGCACGCAG